RNAcentral lists this ribosomal RNA (257 nucleotides) under uncultured prokaryote. Its description in RNAcentral is "partial 16S ribosomal RNA". It matches the Rfam family "Bacterial small subunit ribosomal RNA", at positions 521 to 777 of the family's 1533-position model. The record is from RNAcentral.
UAAUACGUAGGGUGCGAGCGUUGUCCGGAAUUAUUGGGCGUAAGGCGCGUGUAGGCGGCCAGGUAGGUCUGGUGUGAAAACUCGAGGCUUAACCUCGAGAUGUCAUCGGAAACCAUUUGGCUAGAGUCCGGAAGAGGAAAGUGGAAUUCCUGGUGUAGCGGUGAAAUGCGCAGAUAUCAGGAAGAACACCAAUGGCGAAAGCAGCUUUCUGGGACGGUACUGACGCUGAGACGCGAAAGCGUGGGGAGCGAACAGGA